Long non-coding RNA from Anas platyrhynchos (mallard), 2319 nucleotides. RefSeq lists it as uncharacterized. Lineage: Eukaryota; Metazoa; Chordata; Aves; Anseriformes; Anatidae. The record is from RefSeq and is a predicted model, not a curated record.
CUCUCAAAGGAGGAGCGGCCCCUUCAAAAACGAGCUGUGUGCUUGGGCUGUGCCCCCACCACUGGGGCCAGCCCCACGCUGGUGCCCCUGCCCUGGUGGGGCCCAGCUAGCUCAGCACGGCUGUCAGAUGAGUGGUCACCCGCGCACCUCCUUCCCUCCCCUUCACAGCUGAAGGCAGAGUCCUGUGAGCACCGCGGAGGAGCCAGAGCAGGGGCUGGAGAUCAAAGGACAGCAUCUCAGUGAAGACUGUGAGCCUGGAGACAGCUGCAGUGCAGCACUGCGUGUAUUUGACAAGCUGAGUUUGACACUCAGUUUGGCAGAGUGUCAGUUUGUCAAAUACCCCAAGUGAGGCACUUGCUGAGCAACACAGCUGCACACCGAGGGAACCGACUCCUUCCUUGACUUGGGCAGGAGCCUUUGCAUCUGCAUUCUGAUCCUCUCCGUAAAUGUGACGAGGUAUUGAGCAAACUUGCUGAAUGCCUGUCUGAUGCCAUGCUGUCAGGUUUCCUUUACACCCCAAUUUCAGAAGUGCCUGUUGGGGUGUAAUCCUAAUGGCAAACUGUUGCAGAAGUGAUGCUGGUACCAUUCCUCUGUGUUGGGAAAACAGCCAAGGACAACACUGUUCUGUGUCACAGCACUGGCUAGCAAGCUAUUAAUAAAUUUCCUGUUCAGUUAAUAAAGGUUCUGGCAACUAUAAUCAUACCAAUGUGGGUAAUGGAAACAUUAGCCUUAAUAGCAUUUUUGGUAGAUUUUUUUUUUUGAUGUGUAGGAAUCUUUUUUUUUUUUUUUUAAUUGAAGCUGGAGUACAAAUUAAUGAGGUUUCUGUUUAACUUCCCCCUAUUCUGUUAGCCAGUGUGAAGUGCUUGUUUGUUCCAGCUCUUUUUAAAUAAGUCUAUGGAGUCCAUUGCUUUUUCUUGGAACCUUGUUGUUCGGAGAAGACUCCUUGUUUUUGUCUGAUUAUUCCUAGUCAGCACUUGCAACAAGGUUGCCUAUUGUAGUUUUUGCUAUAUUUCUGCCAUUUUAUGAAAAUAAUUCCCUCUAAAUCAUCUACUUGAAGAUCUAAUGAUCGGUCAACAUUUUUAAUAACUGAUGUGAUGUAUCAGAUAUAUAGCUGGAGAUAUUUCUUGGGGUGGGGGUAACAGAGGGUGAGUGCCUAACCCAGUAUGACAAACCACACUCCCUGAAAGCAUUUAAAUUAAAAAAUUCAGAAAUUGAGAGAAAUUCCCAACACUUCACUGACUCUUUUUUUAGGACAAUACCACCAGUAAAUUUCGCAACAUUGAUAAACUUUAAUACUAAGACACUUUUUUUUUUGUUGCUGUUGCAACUAUUUCUUGCUAAAUAUUUUCUAGAAGUUGGAGUUUGUACAAUGUUGGGACCAACGAAUAUAUGGCAUUGCCUAAGCAAAUUAUGUUCUGCUUUCUGAAUAAGUCCUAUCAGUAGGGCUUAUUGUAUGCUUCUGGACAAACACAGUCCUAGUCACUGUGACUCACACUCCCGUGGUCUCUCUCUUGCACCUACGCAUGACUCAUGGACAUCACCCUGAUCUCUAUCACUGAGGUCAGCUUCAGAAGAGAACAAAGUCUAUUAUUUCAGGGUUUGUUUUGUCUCCCUGUGGAUCCUUAAUGCAGCAGGCAGAUAUAUCAAUCCCAACCCUUUCUGCCUUCACAGACCUCAAGGUUUCAACAGGCCUGUCUUCUGCACAGCAGCUAGCUGAGCAUUCCUUUUAAGCUCUUCACUGUUGUUUCCUCAUUUAUGGUUUUACUUUCAGAAAAGUUUGCCCCUGUUUUUUAGGGGAAGAAAGUUAACCCCUUCCUCUUCUACAGGAAAUACCAAAUUACAGUGGUACGAAUUCCUUUAUUGGAUACUUCCUCUCUUUUCUCCCUGUUUAGAAUGGCAGGUACAGAAGGGCUCUGAAGUCCAAGGCAAACUUGGCAGUUUAGAAGCCAACGUCCCCACAGUUGUACAAGCCCUGCAACUGCGCUCUGCUUUGCAGUAGAGCUGCAAGUCUCAUGACAAUGUGCUAGCCACUAGAAAUAGUGUGUUUUUUUUUUUCUGGAGACUCGGUAGUUUCAGAGAGGAAGCUGAGGUUUCCUUUCUGUGCUGGUGCGGAGCUGGCCUUUAGUGGAUGAGUCAUGUCACCGGGUAAGUGACCAGUGCAAGGAAGGGAGAAGUUCUUUUGUUUGAUGGAGGUACACAACAGCAAAGCCCUUUUCAGCUUUCAGAAGAAAAAUGUUGUUUCCAACAGUUUUUACUGCCAAACAUGCCAAAGAUUUAAAUAAAAUACAACCACACUCACUGCAUAGAGAAAAACAACAA